Molecule: ribosomal RNA, 354 nt
Filed under: uncultured bacterium
Lineage: Bacteria
Description: bacterial SSU rRNA
Rfam family: Bacterial small subunit ribosomal RNA
Source: RNAcentral
GACGUGACUUCAGAGUUUGAUCCUGGCUCAGGAUGAACGCUGGCGGCGUGCCUAACACAUGCAAGUCGAGCGAGAAACCCAUGAUCGAAACUUCGGUUGAUUGAUUGGGCGGAAAGCGGCGGACGGGUGAGUAACGCGUAGGCAACCUGCCCCUUGCAGAGGGAUAGCCUCGGGAAACCGGGAUUAAAACCUCAUAAUGCAUCGAGAAGACAUCUUCAUGAUGCCAAAGAUUUAUCGGCAAGGGAUGGGCCUGCGUCUGAUUAGUUAGUUGGUGGGGUAACGGCCUACCAAGGCAGCGAUCAGUAGCCGACCUGAGAGGGUGAUCGGCCACAUUGGAACUGAGACACGGUCCAA